GGGCCUUCCCUUGGAAGUUGGGGGGAAACAGUUGGAACGACUGCUAAUACCGCAUAAUGUCUACGGACCAAAGGCGCGUGCUUCGGCUCUCGCCUUUAGAUUGGCCCAAGUGGGAUUAGCUAGUUGGUGAGGUAAUGGCUCACCAAGGCGACGAUCCCUAGCUGGUUUGAGAGGAUGAUCAGCCACACUGGGACUGAGACACGGCCCAGACUCCUACGGGAGGCAGCAGUGGGGAAUAUUGCACAAUGGGCGCAAGCCUGAUGCAGCCAUGCCGCGUGUGUGAAGAAGGCCUUCGGGUUGUAAAGCACUUUCAGUCAGGAGGAAAGGUUAGUAGUUAAUACCUGCUAGCUGUGACGUUACUGACAGAAGAAGCACCGGCUAACUCCGUGCCAGCAGCCGCGGUAAUACGGAGGGUGCGAGCGUUAAUCGGAAUUACUGGGCGUAAAGCGUACGCAGGCGGUUUGUUAAGCGAGAUGUGAAAGCCCCGGGCUCAACCUGGGAACUGCAUUUCGAACUGGCAAACUAGAGUGUGAUAGAGGGUGGUAGAAUUUCAGGUGUAGCGGUGAAAUGCGUAGAGAUCUGAAGGAAUACCGAUGGCGAAGGCAGCCACCUGGGUCAAACACUGACGCUCAUGUACGAAAGCGUGGGGAGCAAACGGGAUUAGAUACCCCGGUAGUCCACGCCGUAACGAUGUCUACUAGAAGCUCGGAGCCUCGGUUCUGUUUUUUCAAAGCUUAACGCAUUAAGUAGACCGCCUGGGGAGUACGGCCGCAAGGUUAAACUUCAAAUGAAUUUGACGGGGGGCCCCGCAACAAGCGGUGGAGCAUUG
RNAcentral lists this ribosomal RNA (829 nucleotides) under uncultured Pseudoalteromonas sp. RNAcentral describes it as "bacterial SSU rRNA". It matches the Rfam family "Bacterial small subunit ribosomal RNA", at positions 119 to 942 of the family's 1533-position model. The record is from RNAcentral. Lineage: Bacteria; Pseudomonadati; Pseudomonadota; Gammaproteobacteria; Alteromonadales; Pseudoalteromonadaceae.